UUCUACCAUUGAUAGGUCAUA
This is a non-coding RNA of Caenorhabditis elegans, 21 nucleotides long. The record is from Ensembl. NCBI's taxonomy places the organism in Eukaryota, Metazoa, Nematoda, Chromadorea, Rhabditida, Rhabditidae.